CUCAGUCGCUGUCCAGAGAACUUGCACACCCCACCUGCAGUCUUCACCACCUCGCCGGCGGCCACGGGGGCUAAAAACGAUAAGAGAGACGGUGGGGGGUGCAUUUUGUGGGCAUCUGACUCUUCCAGGGCUGGGCGGAGCCAAGGACACUGGGCUUGGAGUCAUUCGGGCUGGAUGGGGCUGAACCCGCCCAUGUCUAUGGCCUGCUGAGUCCUGUCCUCUUGCAGAGCUCUUUUCGUCAUCUGCGCAAUGGCAGGAAUGAGACGGAAACCAGUGAAGCGUUCCUCGCAGGGCCUGGACUUAUCUUGGAUAACAUUUGCAGUGACCUUAUGAGGUAAGGAUGGCCACUUGGAACCCUUGAAGCUGUGAGUCCCCUUGACUUCCUCCCAGGCACUGCCCUCCCAGAAGUGAAGGUACCAGGAGGCAGAGGAAACAGUAGCACCACGGUGCCAUCCUGGAUCCAACGGAGCAGCCACCUUUCCCCUGCUCCCCAAGGUGCGUCCAUUUCUGAGUUUCCCUCCUCUGGACCUGUGACCAUGCCAUCCCUCCUGCCUGGACUGCCUCCCAGUCUCUCAGUAGUACCACCUCCAGGUUCAGCUUGUGGUUCCGGCUGGUGGGUGUGCCACAGCCAGACGCUGUGCUCAGCGGGGAUACCCUAACCCUGGGUGAUCUGGGGUCACUCCCGUCAACCUGGGGGGCUCUGCAGGCAGGGAAGAGCCUCCUGGGUCUCUGCUCCAGCCCUGGCUUUACACAAAUGUGCCUGAGAAAACACGGUGUCCUGACACCUGGCCUCAUGCCACCUGGUGACGGCAUCUGAGCCAUCACCAGUGAUCAUUCACCCCUUUUCCCUUUUCCAGACAGCACGAAAAUCCAACACGCCCCUCACCGGAGGACUGGGAGGCUCCCGCGUUUUGGAUUCUGAAAAGCACUCCCUCGUUCACGUCUGCCUGGAUUCGCGCCCUCAAGCCCCCUGGCGCCCACUUUUCUUGCUCUCCAAACACUCGUUGAGGCCCGAGAGGGAGAUGCGAAGUUUGCCCACCACUGCGCGUCCCUCCUCCGCGAGGCGCCAAUGGGCCUGAGUCAGGGGCCUCCCCUUCAUCCGCUGGUCCCUCCCCUGUUCCCAGCUCCAGUUCCUCACCCGCUAUGGCUGGCCUGGCGCCUGUGGCCGUUCACCGUCUGCGAGGCAUCUGCGGGGACUGAAGUCGGGGAGGCAGCGGCGGGCUCUGGCAGAUACCAGGAGAUCCCGCCCCUCGGCCCGGGAGACCCCGCCCCUCGGCCACGCCCCUUUCCGCUCCCCACCCCGCCCUCUUGGGCCCCCCACCCGGCCCAGCCAGACAGAGACCUGCCUCCAGGUGGGUGGGAGGAGACCUUCAGUCCCUCGCCCCGGGCCUGUUGUCACUACCUCCCCCAAACACAUUGGUUAAAGUCACCCGAUUAGAAGGGGCCACCUGUGAGACUUGGAUCCAAAGCAAACUAGCGGAAGCUGAAGGGUCUUGGGGCUUCCCAGGCCUCUCGGAGGCCGGGAUGGUCGUGGAGGAGGGAGCGCUCAGUGCCUGGCCUACUGCCUGCCCUGAGCCGGCUCCCUACAGGACGCUUCUCCUGUACCUUCCACCUGCUGCGAGGAAGGGCUGGGGGCAGGCGUACCCAUUUUCCAGAGGAGAACUGAAGGCUCUCACCCCGGGUUAGGCCAGUGGCCGGAGGCAGAGCCGGGCCUUGAACCUGGCUUUCUGGAUCUUCAUCCAGGCCAUUCUAAAGGGGAUCACAGUUUCCAGGAGUCACUCCUGAAGAUGGUCAAGUACCAUGGAGGGGCAGGGCAUCCAUGGACCCUGAUUUGAGGCCCCGGAGCAGUUGGGACUGGUUUGGGCCACGGCUGGCCUAAUCUCCCCUCCACAGAGCCUGGGCAUUGUCCAGUUGGCAGCCAAGAGCCAUCUAUCCACUUUACAGCGGGCAGCUUUGACAGGCUGCUUGUUUCCAAGGACAAAGCCUGCAGGCUGUGGGUAGGCGAUAGCCACUGCGGACCUCGGGCUCAUUGCCUGGGUACAGGGGGUGGGGAGCCUGAGGUCUGCCAGGACCCAAGGGAGCCUCGAGGGUGGCCUGAGGACAUUGGGUCCUCACUCCUGGCCCCUCAGCCAACCCCCUCAUAGCCCAGGGCCAGGAAUUUUGGAAGGAAGAACCAGCCACUGGGAUGUUUUCACUUUUGGGUCACCCUGAUCCCCCCAGAAUCGAGGCUUGGCCAUCAGCCAGCUUUUAUGUGACCCAGGCAGCUCUCUCCACUCUGUUUCUUCUUCUACAGAAUGUUGAGAAUCACCUCUUUCUCUCAGGGACAUAAAGCAUGGCUGUGAGAGAGAUUUGUGAGUGUUGGGGUCACUGUAAUUACUCUCUGAGGGUGCCUGUCUUGAGCUCUGUAGACAAAGUGGGAUCCCUUCCCCUCUCUCAUACCCCUACAAACUUUGGGCCUCGAGUAUCCAGGAUGGGCCCAGAACCAGCACUGGCACAGCCUCCUCUCUGGCCUGAUCCAAGCCCUCUCCCACACAGCAGUCAGGCUGAUCUUCCUAAAAUUUCCGUCUAUUGAGCUUACAUUAAAAUAAUAAUAAUAAUAAUAAUAAUAAUAAUAAUAAUAAUAAUAACAACAUUUCUGUCUGAUUUUGUCUCUCCUCUGCUCAAAAUCCCUCUGUGGAUCCCUAGUGCCUCCAGGAGAAAGUCCACCCUUCCUCUCACGGCUCACCCAAUCUACCCCAGCCGUGGCUCCUCCCUCACUGUGCCUCUUCCCCUUACCUUCUAGCCAGAGUGAAAUCCCCAGGCCUCUGCGUGCACCAUUCCCUCUGCUUAGGAAUAGGCAGACCUGCCCCCAGGUCUUUUCUGGUUCAUUUCCACUUAUCCUUCAGGUUUCUAGGAUGCUUUCCCUGACCUCCACUUAAAUUGGCUCAGGAGUUCCCUGAUCUCCACAAAUGUCAGGAACUUGUCCACCCGCCUGCCCCCAGCACCCAGGUUACACCUGACAAAAUGAUCUGUGACAUGCCUGGCCUGGAGCCUGGCACACAGCAGGUGCUCAGUAAAUACAUAUUUGGCCGGGCGCGAUGACUCACGUCUGUAACCCCAUCACUUUGGGAGGCCGAGGUGGAUGGAUCACCUGAGGUCACGUGUUUGAGACCAUCCUGGCCAACAUGGCGGAACCCUGUCUCUACUAAAAAUACAAAAAUUAGCUGGUUGUGGUGGCGCGUGCCUGUAAUCCCAGCUGCUGGGGAGGCUGAGGCAGGAGAACCUGGGAGGCGGAGGUUGCAGUGAGCCAAGAUCAUGCCAUCACACUCCAGCCUGGGUGACAGAACAAGGCUCAGUCUCAAAAUGAAUACAUACAUACAUACCUAUUUGUAUUAGGAGGAGAAAACCAAGAACCAGAGAAGAGAAGAGAAGGGAAGGGACCUGUGGCCACAUAGCAAGGCCAUGGCACAGCCGAAGUCUCCUCUGCUUUCCUCAUGCAGCCCCGUCCAACCCAUCUCUUUCAUCUCUUUUCUUAAAACUUAAAAAUAUUUUCAGGGGGGUGUGGUGGCUCAUGCCUAUAAUCCCAGCAAUUUGGGAGGAUGAGAUGGGAGGAUUGCUUGAGCCCGGGAGUUUGAGGCUGCAGUGAGCCACUGUAGUCCAGCCGGGGUGACACAGCCAGACUCCAUCUUUUUCUCUGUAUAUUUUUUCACCUCUACCUGAUGUGACUGAGUAACUGCUGGGGUACAUCACCUCUUUCAGGUGAUGGAAAUGUUCUAAAGUUGAUUAUGCUGAUGGUUGGUUGCCCAGCUGUGAAUGCAGUAAAAACAUUGAGCCGUACACUUUAAAUGGACAAGUUAUGUGUGAAUUAUAUCUCAAUAAAGCUCUGUGCCCCACCCAAAUCUCCUGUCAAACUGUGAUUCAUAGCGUUGGAAGUGGGGCCGGGUGGAAGGUGACUAGAUCAUGGGGGCGGAUCCUUCAUAAAUGAU
Molecule: long non-coding RNA, 3965 nt
Filed under: Homo sapiens (human)
Lineage: Eukaryota; Metazoa; Chordata; Mammalia; Primates; Hominidae
Description: HSALNT0155226
Source: RNAcentral